This 458-nucleotide ribosomal RNA is filed under the name uncultured bacterium. Its description in RNAcentral is "partial 16S ribosomal RNA". It matches the Rfam family "Bacterial small subunit ribosomal RNA", at positions 29 to 507 of the family's 1533-position model. The record is from RNAcentral.
AACGAACGCUGGCGGCAUGCCUAACACAUGCAAGUCGAACGAGAGAUUCGGGUUUGGUGGCGCACGGGGGGGUAAAGGGGGGGAAAAUGCCCAUAGGUUUGGAAUAACUCCCGGAAAGGGGUGCUAAUACGGGAGAAAGUAUUGGGACCGAAGAGAUAUCGCAAGUGGGGGGGCCUGGGUUGGAUUAGUUAGAUGGUAGGGUAAAAGCCUACCAAGGCGAGGAGCCUUAACUGGUCUGAGAGGAUGAUAAGCCACACUGGAACUGAGACACGGUCCAGACUCCUACGGGAGGCAGCAGUGGGGAAUAUUGGACAAUGGGCGAAAGCCUGAUCCAGCCAUGCCGCGUGUGUGAAGAAGGUCCUCGGAUUGUAAAGCACUUUAAGUUGGGAGGAAGGGCAGUAAGUUAAUACCUUGCUGUUUUGACGGUACCAACAGAAUAAGCACCGGCUAACUUCGUG